UUUCCAACGUGCUAUUGCCAUAACCUGAAUUUCUUGCAGAGCAUCUUCGAGAAUUUCCCUGAUCUCGUUGCGAUCCAAUUUCAAAUUAUUUCUUAGGUUAAAAGACUGAGGAUCAUGACUUGGGAAUACUAAACCCGGUGAUGAUUCCAGUGCCGUGCAAUGAUGUGCAUCUAACUCACUUAGAUUGCAUGGAAGCUUUGGUAAGGAUUGAAGCCUCUCACAAUAACUCAAUUUAAGAUAUGCCAACUUAGAAAGAUGUAUGAUGCUCUCUGGUAUUCUCUCAAAAUUGUUUUUCUCUAGAUACAAUUCACGUAACAAGGAUAACUGACCGAGAUUUUCAGGUAACUCCGUGAUGCCGCAAUCAGUUAGAUAUAAAGACGUCAGAUUUUGCAAGCCAUCAAAAUUGUUCAAACCAACAAUGGACAACGGCACUUCUCUUAUAGCAGUUCCUUCAGCAAUCAAACUGUCCAAAGCUUCUAAAUUUCCAAGUUCAUCAGGCAAACUCUUAAGACUUGAGCACCACCUGAGAUAAAUAAAGCUCAGAGAGUUCAAUUUACAUAGGCUGCUUGGGAGACUCUUCAGCCUUUUACAAUUAUCAAGGUAUAAGGCCGAAAGCCGAGACAGACAUUCUAUGGAUGAAGGCAGUUCUUCAAUUGCAGUUCCAUUUAAAUACAUCACUUCUAUAUUACCAGCUGAUGAUAUCUCUGGAAGCGUUUUUAGUUUUGAGCAGCCCCAAAGAUCAAGUUCUUUAAGAAAUUCCAAACGAAAUAUUCCAGCUGGAAGAAUUCUCAAGCUUUUGCAAUUGUUUAGAUUGAGGUUAACUAGCUUGUCCAGAUGCAGGGUCAACGAGUGGUUUGGAGAUUUGGUGAAAAAAUUGCAGGCCCGGCUUAUUAUCUGCUUUAACUUACCAUUAUGCUGCUCCAAAAAAAUUAGAAGCCCAGACAUACAAAUUGUUAGCAUUUAAGUACGAUAAAUAAUUAAACAUUAUUACUGAAACAUUGCAUAAAUAUUAAGAUUUUAUAUACCUCGACAUCAUCCCAAAGUUGUUGAAUAUUACCAUGAGGCAUUUCAAUUGAAACAAGUUUCUCUGGAUGAAUAUUUGACGGCAAUGAUUUUAGUGGAUAUCCAUACCAGUGAAGAUACCUCACUUCAGCAAAUCCAGGUCCUACCAAAUAAGACACCUUACAUUUGUUCUCUCCAUCAUCUUUAGAGUUAUAGAAUUUCAAAAAUCUCAAUUUACACAUCUUUGUGAAAGUAUCUGGAUGCAGAUAGAUCUCUUUUAUUCUAGACAUAUCAAAACAGAUGCCCUCAACUUUUUUGGUCCCCUAACAAUCAAUGAAAGACCAGGAAGUUAAAUUCAAAUUUAAAUUAAUGUUCAAGUUAAUUGAAAGCCAACGUACAAAAGAAACAUUGUAAUACAAACAAUACUAAGCAUAUAAAGUAUCCAUGAAGUAUGGACAUGCCUAUGUACGAAAGAAACAUAGUAAUACGAACAAUACUAAACAUAUAAAGUAUCUAUGUUUGUUUGCCAUACUUUUAGAUGUAAAUUGACAUUGUAACGUAUCUCUGUCUGUUUGCCAGACUUUUAGUUGUAAAUUGACAUUGCAAUUUUUUUUUUCCUUUUUAUUAUUGCCAGUUCUUCUAUUGAUCUUAUAUUCCAUGUACUUAUACAUAAUUAUAAGUAAAGUUUACAAAUCCAAUAGCAUCUAUAUAUAUAUAUAUAUAUAUAUAUAUAUAUAAAGUUGGGGCUAUAAGAGUUGAUGUGGCAUCACCAUUUCUCAUCAUCUCAUAUUCUCUAUUAUCUAAUAAAUUGGUUGAAAUUAAAAAAUAAUUAUAUUACAAAAUAUUAAAAUAGAAAAUAAUUAUUAGAUUAUAAAUGAUUACAUGUCUUUUCCUCUUUCUAUUUAAAUUCAACAAUAUGUAACCAUUAAUAAUAAUUAAUUAUAAGUCUUGAAACAUUCAUUUAUUUUAUUAUGCCAACAAUUAAAUUUUAGUGGCUUAAAAUACAUCAAUUAAUUAAUAUAGGAAGGAAGGUUCCUUCAUCUUCCCUCAACAAUGCCAUUAGAGCCUAAUUUUAAUGUCAUAAUCUCAUAUUUAAUUAUUCAAUCUUUUGUUUAGUGCAUUUUGGCUUCUUCAAACUCCAUAAACAUUAAAUAUUUAAGAUUUGUGGCAUCAUUAUUUCUCAUCUUUUUAUAUUCUCUAUUAUCUAACAUAUUGGUUGAGAUUAAAAAAUAAUUACAUUACAAAAUAUUAAUUACAUUACAAAAUAUUAAUAUAUAUAUAUAUAUAUAUAUAUAUAAAGUUGGGACUAGAGGAGGUGAUGUGGCAUCACUAUUUCUCAUCUUCUUGUAUUCUCUAUUAUCUAAUAAAUUGGUUGAUAUUAAAAAAAUAAUUACAUUACAAAAUAUUAAAAAUAAAAAAUAAUUAUUAGAUUAUAAAAUAUUACAUGUCUCUUUCUAUUUAAAUUCAAUAAUAUGUAACCAUUAAUAAUAAUUAAUUAUAAGUCUUCAAACAUUAAUUUAUUUUAUUAUGCCAACAAUUAAACUUUAGUGGCUUAAAUAUAUCAAUUAAUUAAUAUAGGAAGGAAUGUUCCUUCAUCUUCCCUCAACAAUGCCAUUAGGGUCUAAUUUUAAUUCUAUAAUCUCAUAUGUAAUUAUGCAACCUUUUGUUUAGUGCCUUUUGGCUUCUUCAAACUCUAUAAAUAUUAAGUAGUUAAGAUUUGUGGCAUUAUUAUUUCUCAUCUUUUUAUAUUCUCUAUUAUCUAAUAUAUUGGUUGAGAUUAAAAAAUAAUUACAUUACAAAAUAUAAAAAUAGAAAAUAAUUAGUAGAUUAUAAAAUAUUACAUGUCUCUUCUUCUUUUUAUUUAAAUUUAACAAUAUGUAACCAUUAAUAAUAAAUUAAUUAUAGUUUUGAAACAUUCAUUUAUUUUAUUAAGUCAACAACUAAACUUUAGUGGUUUAAAAUACAUCAACUAAUUAAUAUAGGAAGGAAUGUUCCUUCAUCUUCCCUCACCAAUGCCACUAGGACCUAAUAUUAAUGCCAUAAUCUCAUAUUUAAUUAUGCAACAUUUUAUUUAGUGUCUUUUGGCUUCUUCAAACUCUAUAAAUAUUAAGUAUUUAAGAUUUGUUAUGGUUGGAUUUUUUUUUAUUAUUUAACCAACAUCCUCUUUAGAAAUGUUUUUGUGUUUUUAUUUUUUAACUUAUUUAAAUUUUUUGUAUUGUGUGCUUCAUGGAGUAUUCUUUUCUUUAUGAGUUAAACAAUGAUAAAGAUAGUUGGAUCAUAAGUGUUAGACUUUGUAAGAUGUGGGAGUCUGUUAAUACAAAAAAGAAUGGAGAGUUGAUUAGUGUGAACAUAAUUUUUAUUGAUGAAAAGGUUGUGUACACUUAACUAUACACAUUAAUAUAUAUUUUUAAAGUUAACAACAAAAUAAUUAACUUUAAAAAAUAACAUUAGUUUUAUAAGGCUGUGUCAUCUUUAAAAAAAAAUCAAUUCAUAUUUUUUAUCAAUUUCAUCAAGUGCAAAGUAAUAAAAAAAAGAUAAUACUAAAUUCUUUUUUUAAAGCCGCACGAAGUGCGGUUCUAUUUACUAGUUCACAAAUAAUAUAAAGUCUCAAACAAAAUGCUUACCGUAUUAAAGGUCAAAACUUCAAUAAUAUCCUCAUGGUGCCACAGCCGACUGCGUUCUCCUGGAUUUUUCACAGAUUCUUGCCUGACAAUUUCCCUACCCAUUUCUUGUAACAGAUCAUGCAUUGUUAUUUUGUUGUCGUGUAUGACAAUAAGGGACUUAUUGACAAGAUCACUUAUUCCUAUUUGUGCAUCAAAGCCACAAGCAUUAAGAAAUUUUAUAAUGAAGUCUUUAUCUUUCCCUUUAAAGAAACAAACAAUGUCUAGAAAAAUAUCUUUCUCUUCAUCAUCCAGAUCAUCGAAACUUACUUUUAGCACAUUUUGUAUCUCCACAUUAGGAAUUCUUUUCAAUUUGUUUAUUGCGCUUUCCCAAACUUCCUUUUCCCUUCCAAAUAGAUAGCAACCCAAAAUUUCCAGUGCUAAAGGAACACCUUGAGCAUAAUUUAUUACAACCUGUGACAAGUCCUUAUAACCUACUUCAGGAGGACAGUUUUGUUUGAAGGCAUGUCGACUAAAAAGCUCAAGGGCAUGAUCGUGUUCUAAUUCUUUCAUCUCAAAAAUGUCUCUCUCUUUCACAACCCAAUUUUUAAGGACUUGCUGAUCUCUUGUGGUCAGUAUGAGACGACUUUCAGGCAGAAACCAAUCAGAAACUCUGAUGAAGGAUUUUAUUUGGCUGAAGCUAGUCACAUCAUCGAGAACAAUCAGAACCUUCCUGCGGCUGAGCCUCCUAAAGUUGAAGUCAAUAUGAGGAAUCACAUUUACAUCCUUCAAUACUUCGUUAAAAAGUUUUUGCUGCAACCUAGCUAAUCCACCAGGGCUCUGCGAUUCUUCUCUUACAUUUUGAAGGAAGCAAGAACCUUCAAAAUUUCUGGAGAUUUUGUUGAAAAUCACCCUAGCAAUUGUUGUCUUGCCUAUGCCACCGAUGCCCCAAAUCCCUAAUAUAGGUGCAGCAGCUAAUAGAGAUUCAAUCUCCUCAACUCUUGAUUCUACUCCAACUAGCCGAUUUUUGUUAUCAAAUGGAACCACUUUAGGCAGCCUCUCCAAAAUCUCAUCAACAACUGUCUUUAUAAGUUCAGAUUCAUUCCUAGCAAAUACAAGAAACAUAGUAUUAAGUUCAAAAAGAGACAAAAAGGAGAGUUUUUAAUUAGUUCGGAUUUGAGACAGAGUUUUUUGCUUUUAAAAUUAUUUAUAUAAUGCUAGCACUUGAGUAAAUAAAAAUAAUUAUAAAAUUGGUAAUAAAUUUACUGUUACCUGAAGACAUGAGAAUCAAAGCCAGAGAGAUUGGCUGCUUCAGUUAAAGCACUCCCCCAACUUUGCUUCUUGUCUGGAAAUCUUUUUUCAAGCUCCGAAAUUGAAACCCCAAAACUCCCAAUUUGCUUUCUCACAUGUGAUGGAUCGACCCGAUAAAAAACUGGUAUCACAAUCUGUGCAUACUUUUUCCUGCAAUCGAGGAUCUUUAGAAGUUCAUCGAGGCACCAUCUGGAAGAAGCAUACCCUUCAGAGAAUACGAUGACUGAUAUGCUUGAUGCUUCAAUUGCAUCAAGAAGAGACUGUGAGAUUUCAUUUCCUCUGACGAGUUGGUCAUCAAUGAAAGUUUCGAUAUUCGUUUCACACAAGGCUGAAUAAAGAUGGCUAGUAAAGCUAUCACGGGUUUCCUCUUCUCUGAAACUCAGGAAAACAUCAUACUUAUUGUUUCCAGGAUUAUUCAUCGAACUCAAACUGCUGGAUGGACGAGAAGAAGAAGAAGAAGAAGCCAUAACAACUUACAGAAACAAUUCAAUUGAUUAGAGAUUUUGAUGAUUAGAAAAUUGAUUUGGGAUAUGAUAAUAAUUUUGUAAAGUAGAUUACUAUCAGCUAUUUAUUGUUUUUCUUUUUUUAUUUUGUAAGUCAGAUUUAGUAUAUUUUGUUUUUUUUUAAUGUUGGAAUUUUAAUUUCUUAUUUUUAUUGGUAAAAUCCAGAAUUGAGUUUUGUAUGCGAAUUUUUUAGGCUAUGGUUAUAAAUUUAUAUUUGAAUCACUUAAUUUAAUUUUUUAUGUAUUAUUAAAAGUUUUUUUUAUAUAUAUUCGUGAUUUUAAAUGAGAAAACUUAUAAAAAAAAAUUUACUGGGCGCUAUAGGUUACUUUGUUGAUUGUUAAAUCUCGGUUCCCUGAUGUAAUUUUUAAGAGUAAUGAUAUAGCCACAAACUCUUGUACAAAUUUAUUUUGUAUAAACUGAUAUGGCAUGAUAAGAUUUGUUGAAUUAAAUAUCACUUAGCCCACAUGAUUUGUUUUUAUUAUUUUAUAUUUUCAUUCAACCAAUGAAUUAAUGCCACGUCAGUUUGUACAAAAUAAAUUUAUACAAGAAUUUGUGGCUGUAUCAUUACUUAAUUUUUAAACACCCGGUCCAAGUUUUUUAAUUCAGGUUUUUGUACCUCGUAUUUUGUACUUUUUUAUUAUUAUAUAUGUAUUUUUAUAAUUUUAUAAUUUUUAAAUUUAUUUCAAUGAAAUCGAACAUGAAAAUUUAAACUUCAAAUAUUUAAAACUUUAUCUAUAUGUAAUAGAUCAGUCAAAUAAAUAUAAAUAUUAAAAAUAAUAUAUAUUUUAUAAUACUUUUUUAAUAAAAUUUGGGUUUUGGGCCGGGUCUUGGGUUUAUAAAGUGAUACCCAAGACAAGUCUAGCUUCAUACCCAGGCUUAGCAUUAUCCAGCCCACAUCGCCAGAGUCCAGAUCGGACAAGUAUUUUUGCCACCCCUAAAACCCACAAUAGAUGGACUUUUUAAAAAAAAUAAAAAACCUACUGCCAAUUAUGGGUGAGUUUAGUAAUUUAUAAUUUUUAUGAAUGCGGGUUAAGUUGUAUUUAUUAGUUCACUACCUGCUCUAUUUAAUUUCUAUUGUAUUGUCUUCAUGUUGUUUUUUCCUGUGUUUGUAUCUCUAUAUCCUAAUUCAAAUUUUUUACCAUAGUCUAUAUAAUUUUUACAACCUACCUGUUUGACGAAAUGUCUCACUAAAUCUAUUGAGUACUAUAACCAGAGAUUAAUCAAGCGUUACCAAUGAAUUAUUCUGCUUUCACCAAAAAAGAAGCCAUUACAUGCAAAUCAGUAGCGUGUAUGAUAAUUAAAUAUUAUUGACAUUGCACACCUGAACGCUCUCCGAAAGUUGUUCAAUACUGCAACGAGGCAAUUCAAGGAAAACAAGUAUCUCCCUAUGAAUAUUUGAAGCCAAUGAUUUAUAUAUGGGAAGAAAAUAAUUAAAGAAAAGUAAUAAAACAGAUAGAAGGAAAAGAAACCAAGCUAGCAAAACAAGGUUUAUGAAUAAGAUUUAUUAAUUUACUGAUAGUAGCAGCUACUAUGAUGCCUUAAAGAAUACUUCAACCGAGAGUACUCCUUGGAUCUUCUGUGGGUUCCGUAGAAUCAGGGGCGUACAAUAAAUGAAUCCCACAUUUUUUCACCGGGCAACAAUCCAAACGUUCACGUUGAUUAUGAUCAUCCUCUAAAUAGAACUUGACUGCCACAUGAUCGCAGUUGUGUUUCUGGAAAGCACUAAAAUCAUGCUCACCAAAGAAAUAGUACCCCAAAAGUAAGUGAUCUGACUCUACAUAAUUAAAUCCCCUUAGAGAACUCCGUCUGACCAGUAGCUCAGUACAAUCUUCAGGUUUGGCUUUCAUGAAUUCACAGAACAAGUUAAACCACCUCUUCUCUUUGACAUGAUGGUCUCGAAAUCCUACAACAGCGCUGUAAGCAAAGCCAAUCACUUUGUUAUUACUGAACCAACCUACAGGUGGCAUCUUCAAGGUUAUAGAAGAAGAUCCCAAACUUUGAAAGCUAAACCACUUUGGAAUUUCAUUCCCAGGUAAUAAUACUCGACCUGAACUUUGGAAAAAAUCUCCCUGUACCAAAGAUCAUAAUUUUGAAGAAAUGUUGUUAAAUUUAAUUUUAAAUAAAAAAUUAACAAAAUAGCAUUGGAACGAUGAUCUAGUGAGCACUAGUGCCCACCAUAUGGAUGAGCAUUUGGAUAUGUGGCAGAAUUCUACAACUCCCAGUGAAUAGCGUUAAGGCUGUGGAUUAAUUAAGCAAUGCGAUGUGCCACUCUCGCUCUCCAUAAGAUGAGCACUAUCGCCCACUAGAUCAUUACUCAAUAACAUUGUAUAGAUUAAAAGGAUCAUAAAAGACACAACAUACCUUUUCCUGUAAUUGUUUCCAACGUGCUAUUGCCAUAACCUGAAUUUCUUGCUGAGCGUCUUCGAGAAUUUCCCUGAUCUCGUUGCGAUCCAAUUUCAAAUUAUUUCUUAGGUCAAAAUACUGAGGAUCACGACUUGGGAAUACUAAACCUGGAGAUGAUUCCAGUGCUGUGCAAUGAUGUGCAUCUAACUCACUUAGAUUGCAUGGAAGCUUUGGUAAGGAUUGAAGCCUCUCACAAUAACUCAAUUUAAGAUAUGCCAACUUAGAAAGAUGUAUGAUGCUCUCUGGUAUUCUCUCAAAAUUGUUUUUCUCUAGAUACAAUUCAAGUAAUAAGGAUAACUGACCGAGAUUCUCAGGUAACUCCGUGAUGCCGCAAUUAGUUAGAUAUAAAGACGUUAGAUUUUGCAAGCCAUCAAAAUUGUUCAAACGAACAAUGGACAACGGCACUUCUCUUAUAGCAGUUCCUUCAGCAUUCAAACUGUUCAAAGCUUCUAAAUUUCCAAGUUCAUCGGGCAAACUCUUAAGACUUGAGCACCAUCUGAGAUAAAUAGAAUUCAGAGAUUUCAACUUACAUAGGCUGCUUGGGAGACUCUUCAGCCUUUUACAAUGAUCAAGGUAUAAGGCCGAAAGCCCAGAUAGACAUUCUAUGGAUGAAGGCAGUUCUUCAAUUGCAGUUCCAUUUAAAUACAUCACUUCUAUAUUACC
This 8482-nucleotide long non-coding RNA is filed under the name Citrus maxima (pomelo). RNAcentral's name for it is "long non-coding RNA (CMAX_LNC002355)". Lineage: Eukaryota; Viridiplantae; Streptophyta; Magnoliopsida; Sapindales; Rutaceae. The record is from RNAcentral.